CAGAAUAUAGUUUAUUAGAACUUCCACUUUGGGGGUGGAGAGAAACAAAUUCUGG
RNAcentral lists this transfer RNA (55 nucleotides) under Leptotrombidium imphalum. RNAcentral describes it as "tRNA-Pro". The record is from RNAcentral. Lineage: Eukaryota; Metazoa; Arthropoda; Arachnida; Trombidiformes; Trombiculidae.